GACGAACGCUGGCGGCGUGCUUAACACAUGCAAGUCGAACGGAAAGGCCCUGCUUUUGUGGGUUGCUCGAGUGGCGAACGGGUUAGUAACACGUGAGUAACCUGCCCUUGACUUUGGGAUAACUUCAGGAAACUGGGGCUAAUACCGGAUAGGAGCUCCUGCUGCAUGGUGGGGGUUGGAAAGUUUCGGCGGUUGGGGAUGGACUCGCGGCUUAUCAGCUUGUUGGUGGGGUAGUGGCUUACCAAGGCUUUGACGGGUAGCCGGCCUGAGAGGGUGACCGGCCACAUUGGGACUGAGAUACGGCCCAGACUCCUACGGGAGGCAGCAGUGGGGAAUAUUGCACAAUGGGCGGAAGCCUGAUGCAGCAACGCCGCGUGCGGGAUGACGGCCUUCGGGUUGUAAACCGCUUUCGCCUGUGACGAAGCGUGAGUGACGGUAAUGGGUAAAGAAGCACCGGCUAACUACGUG
Molecule: ribosomal RNA, 468 nt
Filed under: uncultured bacterium
Lineage: Bacteria
Description: partial 16S ribosomal RNA
Rfam family: Bacterial small subunit ribosomal RNA
Source: RNAcentral